Molecule: long non-coding RNA, 1152 nt
Filed under: Mustela putorius furo (domestic ferret)
Lineage: Eukaryota; Metazoa; Chordata; Mammalia; Carnivora; Mustelidae
Description: lncRNA (ENSMPUG00000029181.1)
Source: RNAcentral
UCCGAAGCAGCGAAGGAGCCACUUCCAGGCCAGCGGAGCCGCUUGCAGACCGCUCGGGGCACACUGCGGGAGUGGAGGACCUGUGGGACCGUAGCUCCGCCCACUCUGCCCACAGUGGGAGCCAUUUUCGAGGCGGUGGACUUGAGCGAGCCGGGCGCUGUUGAGACCCUCUGCACCGUCAAGCGACUGAGCCUCUGUGAGACAUCUCUCUCUACAAACUUCUACGAUUGCGGCCACCGGGUGCGGAUAUCUGCCUGUGGCGCCGGAGACGCUGCCGCCUGCCAGCCCGAGUGCCCGCGCGUGGGGCUCCUGCCCCUCCCCUCCGCGCCCUGCACCGCGCUCCCAGUGAGUGGAGGGUCUGCGUGGGGGUGACGAUGCUGUUCCCCUUGAUCUCGCACAAGACUUUUUUUAUUUUAUUUUAUUUUAUUGAUUUGACAGGGAGAGAGAGCACAAGCAGGGUGGCUAGCAGGAGAGGGAGAAGCAGGAUCCCGAUAUGGGGUUCGAGACCAGCACCCCCGGAUCAUGACCUGAGUCAAGGCAGGCGCUUAACCUGCUGAGCCACCCAGGCGCCCACGACUUCUUUCUAACAUAUUUUUUUCCUCCUCUGAUUACGCUCUUCCUUUGUUUCUCAUAGACCUGAGCUGAUUCUGGAGUUCGCAGAGUAUUGCCACAGUGGUGUGCUUUUCAGGUUGCUUUUCUUUGGUUGUCGGUGAUGCUGCUGUGAACAUCCGCGUAGACGCUUUGGCGUGGACGUGUUUUCUUCGUUAGGGCACCUGGGCAUGGAAUCACCCCAUCACACGGUGACUCGGUGUUCAGUAUUUUGAGAAGCUGCCCAGCUGUUUUCCAAAGCAGCCCCAGUAUUUUAGUUUGGCUACCAGUAUAGGACGGUUCCCCUUGCUCUCAUUCCUUGCCAAGAUUUUGAUAUUGUCCAUUUCAAAAAAAAAAUUUUUUUUUUAACUUUUUCAGUGUGAUAUUGCCCACCUUUUGGAUUGUGGCCAUCCUAGUGGAAGUGAAGUGGUAUCUGGUUGUUUUGACUUGGCGCUUUCCUAAUGUUUCACUGUGUUGAACAUUGUUCAUGUGCUAAUGGACCCUUUGUGUAUUUUAUACGGAGAGAUGUCUAUUCAAAUCUUGUGGCCAUUUUAAAAUUGGGUU